GCGAAAGUAGCUCAGCUGGUAGAGCAUCACGUUGCCAACGUGAGGGUCGACGGUUCGAAUCCGUUCUUUCGCUCUA
This 76-nucleotide transfer RNA is filed under the name Chloroflexota bacterium. Its description in RNAcentral is "tRNA-Gly". It matches the Rfam family "tRNA". From Rfam's summary of the family: Transfer RNA (tRNA) molecules are approximately 80 nucleotides in length. Their secondary structure includes four short double-helical elements and three loops (D, anti-codon, and T loops). Lineage: Bacteria; Bacillati; Chloroflexota. RNAcentral also lists the same sequence under 2 other names. The record is from RNAcentral.